CCUACGGGUGGCAGCAGUGGGGAAUAUUGGACAAUGGGCGCAAGCCUGAUCCAGCCAUGCCGCGUGAGUGAAGAAGGCCUUAGGGUUGUAAAGCUCUUUCACCGGUGAAGAUAAUGACGGUAACCGGAGAAGAAGCCCCGGCUAACUUCGUGCCAGCAGCCGCGGUAAUACGAAGGGGGCUAGCGUUGUUCGGAAUUACUGGGCGUAAAGCGCGCGUAGGCGGAUAGAUAAGUCAGAGGUGAAAUCCCGGGGCUCAACCCCGGAAUUGCCUUUGAUACUGUUUAUCUUGAGUGCAGAAGAGGUAAGUGGAAUUCCGAGUGUAGAGGUGAAAUUCGUAGAUAUUGGGAAGAACACCGGUGGCGAAGGCGGCAACCUGGCUCGAUACUGACGCUGAGGCGCGAAAGCGUGGGGAGCAAACAGGAUUAGAUACCCGCGUAGUC
Molecule: ribosomal RNA, 440 nt
Filed under: uncultured bacterium
Lineage: Bacteria
Description: bacterial SSU rRNA
Rfam family: Bacterial small subunit ribosomal RNA
Source: RNAcentral